CCUACGGGAGGCAGCAGUGGGGGAUAUUGGACAAUGGGGGGAACCCUGAUCCAGCGACGCCGCGUGAGUGAAGAAGUAUUUCGGUAUGUAAAGCUCUGUCAGCAGGGAAGAAAGAAAUGACGGUACCUGACCAAGAAGCCCCGGCUAACUACGUGCCAGCAGCCGCGGUAAUACGGAGGGGGCAAGCGUUAUCCGGAAUUACUGGGUGUAAAGGGAGCGUAGACGGUUAAGUAAGUCUGGAGUGAAAGGCCGGGGCCCAACCCCGGGACUGCUCUGGAAACUAUUGAACUUGAGUGCAGGAGAGGUAAGCGGAAUUCCUAGUGGAGCGGUGAAAUGCGUAGAUAUUAGGAGGAACACCAGUGGCGAAGGCGGCUUACUGGACUGUAACUGACGUUGAGGCUCGAAAGCGUGGGGAGCAAACAGGAUUAGAUACCCCAGUAGUC
Molecule: ribosomal RNA, 443 nt
Filed under: uncultured bacterium
Lineage: Bacteria
Description: partial 16S ribosomal RNA
Rfam family: Bacterial small subunit ribosomal RNA
Source: RNAcentral